GGCUGGUCCAAGUGCAAUGGUGUUUACAACUAUUUGAUCACAACCAGUUAUAGAUUCCUUUGUUCCUUUUCCAUUCCCACCAUUUCACUUGACUAGCCUGAA
Otolemur garnettii (small-eared galago) is the source of this 102-nucleotide unclassified non-coding RNA. It matches the Rfam family "Y RNA". From Rfam's summary of the family: Y RNAs are components of the Ro ribonucleoprotein particle (Ro RNP), in association with Ro60 and La proteins. The Y RNAs and Ro60 and La proteins are well conserved, but the function of the Ro RNP is not known. Lineage: Eukaryota; Metazoa; Chordata; Mammalia; Primates; Galagidae. The record is from Ensembl.